RNAcentral lists this ribosomal RNA (440 nucleotides) under uncultured bacterium. RNAcentral's name for it is "partial 16S ribosomal RNA". It matches the Rfam family "Bacterial small subunit ribosomal RNA", at positions 338 to 795 of the family's 1533-position model. The record is from RNAcentral.
CCUACGGGUGGCAGCAGUGGGGGAUAUUGCACAAUGGGGGAAACCCUGAUGCAGCGACGCCGCGUGUGGGAAGACGGUCCUCUGGAUUGUAAACCACUGUCCCCAGGGACGAAGAUGACGGUACCUGGGGAGGAAGCUCCGGCUAACUACGUGCCAGCAGCCGCGGUAAUACGUAGGGAGCGAGCGUUGUCCGGAAUUACUGGGGGAAAAGGGAGCGUAGGCGGGACUGCAAGUUGGGUGUCAAAUCUACCGGCUCAACCGGUAGCCGCACUCAAAACUGCAGUUCUUGAGUGAAGUAGAGGCAGGCGGAAUUCCUAGUGUAGCGGUGAAAUGCGUAGAUAUUAGGAGGAACACCAGUGGCGAAGGCGGCCUGCUGGGCGUUUACUGACGCUGAGGCGCGAAAGUGUGGGGAGCAAACAGGAUUAGAUACCCGGGUAGUC